This is a long non-coding RNA of Gopherus evgoodei (Goodes thornscrub tortoise), 169 nucleotides long. RefSeq lists it as uncharacterized. The transcript has 2 exons. Lineage: Eukaryota; Metazoa; Chordata; Testudines; Testudinidae. The record is from RefSeq and is a predicted model, not a curated record.
GGUCUCUUUCACUGGCAGGACUGGAUGAAGAGAAGUCUGCCACGCUGGAGAGGGAUCUUGGGAAGAGAGGCACUUACUAACUCUUUCGUGUCCCUGUCAAUGGGACUUGAAAGGGAGCCCCAGCGCCGGAGUCAAAUGGAUAUGUGACCAUCGCAGGCUUCAUUCUCAG